This 253-nucleotide ribosomal RNA is filed under the name uncultured bacterium. RNAcentral describes it as "partial 16S ribosomal RNA". It matches the Rfam family "Bacterial small subunit ribosomal RNA", at positions 524 to 776 of the family's 1533-position model. The record is from RNAcentral.
UACGGAGGGGGCUAGCGUUGUUCGGAAUUACUGGGCGUAAAGCGCACGUAGGCGGCUUCGCAAGUCAGAGGUGAAAGCCCGGGGCUCAACCCCGGAACUGCCUUUGAGACUGCGUCGCUCGAAUCCGGGAGAGGCGGGUGGAAUUCCGAGUGUAGAGGUGAAAUUCGUAGAUAUUCGGAAGAACACCAGUGGCGAAGGCGGCUCACUGGACCGGUAUUGACGCUGAGGCUCGAAAGCAUGGGUAGCGAACAGG